UUUGUUUGGGAUUUGGGAUUUGGGAUUUGGAGCUUCCGCUGCUAUGCAGCGGUAUGGUAGGAGAGCGUUCCAUACGCAGUGAAGUCUGAGCGCGAGUAAAGAUGGAGUGUAUGGAAGUGAGAAUGUUGGUAUGAGUAACAUGAAUUAUGGUGAGAAACCAUAACACCGAAAGCUUAAGGUUUCCUGGGCAACGAAAAUCAACCCAGGGUUAGUCGGUCCUAAGGCGAGGUCGAAAGACGUAGUCGAUGGAUAGCUGGUUAAUAUUCCAGCACUGCUAUAUGUCAUGAUAUGGAAGGACACAAUGUGGGAGGUUAGGCAUAUUAUUGGAUUUAUGUCAAUGUCUUGUAGGCUGAUUCGCGAGGCAAAUCCCGCGGAUUAUUGAAAGCAAUUUCAUAAAAGCCGAGAGAUGUUGGGACUUCUGCUUAAGGGCGGGAGAACCUAAUUGGGUCAUGUUGUCAAGAAAAUUUUCUAAUUUAUCAUAUAGCAACCGUACCGCAAUCCGACACAGGUGAGCAGGCAUCAGCGUGCCAAGGUGUACGGGAGAACUCUUGUUAAGGAAUUCGGCAAAACAACGGCCGUAACUUCGGGAUAAGGCCUGCCCCGCGCAAGCGGGGCUGCAACAAAAGAAAUCAGGGCGACUGUUUAACAAAAACACAGGUCUAUGCUAACCCGCAAGGGGAUGUAUAUGGGCCGACGCUUGUCCAGUGUCAGAACGUUAAGGUUGGAAGUGAAAGCUUUCGGCUGAAGCGCUGAUGAACGACAGCGGUAACUAUAACCGUUCUAAGGUAGUGGAUUUGUUUCAGAAAAGCGAAUCUACUAGGAUUGGGACGGUUGUAGAAAAAAGUAGCUACCCAUUUCUUAGUAAAAUAAAAAGAAAUGUCCAUUUGGCCAUAUGCUGGAAACUCUGGUGAAUCUGAUGUUACUAUGGUAUAAUACACACAUAGAUUUUAUGAACAAAUAUUAUGCCAAGUAAAAAUACAUUCAGCGCAGACAAUCAGCAGGAAAGACCAGAAAUCAUUAGAUUUCUGGAAUCCUCAGAGAUCAAACGCCAAAACCGUCUGUAAGGCGGAAAGAUAUGAUCCUAUCUCUAUGGCGACAUAGAGGGAU
This 1107-nucleotide ribosomal RNA is filed under the name Candidatus Methanoperedens sp. Its description in RNAcentral is "partial 23S ribosomal RNA". The stretch from base 1 to 916 matches the Rfam family "Bacterial large subunit ribosomal RNA", at positions 1170 to 2044 of the family's 2925-position model. Lineage: Archaea; Methanobacteriati; Methanobacteriota; Methanomicrobia; Methanosarcinales; Candidatus Methanoperedentaceae. The record is from RNAcentral.